RNAcentral lists this ribosomal RNA (686 nucleotides) under uncultured Streptomyces sp. Its description in RNAcentral is "bacterial SSU rRNA". It matches the Rfam family "Bacterial small subunit ribosomal RNA", at positions 21 to 724 of the family's 1533-position model. Lineage: Bacteria; Bacillati; Actinomycetota; Actinomycetes; Kitasatosporales; Streptomycetaceae. The record is from RNAcentral.
GGCUCAGGACGAACGCUGGCGGCGUGCUUAACACAUGCAAGUCGAACGGUGAAGCCCUUCGGGGUGGAUCAGUGGCGAACGGGUGAGUAACACGUGGGCAAUCUGCCCUGCACUCUGGGACAAGCCCUGGAAACGGGGUCUAAUACCGGAUAUUACCUUCCUCUGCAUGGGGGUUGGUGGAAAGCUCCGGCGGUGCAGGAUGAGCCCGCGGCCUAUCAGCUUGUUGGUGGGGUAAUGGCCUACCAAGGCGACGACGGGUAGCCGGCCUGAGAGGGCGACCGGCCACACUGGGACUGAGACACGGCCCAGACUCCUACGGGAGGCAGCAGUGGGGAAUAUUGCACAAUGGGCGCAAGCCUGAUGCAGCGACGCCGCGUGAGGGAUGACGGCCUUCGGGUUGUAAACCUCUUUCAGCAGGGAAGAAGCGCAAGUGACGGUACCUGCAGAAGAAGCACCGGCUAACUACGUGCCAGCAGCCGCGGUAAUACGUAGGGUGCGAGCGUUGUCCGGAAUUAUUGGGCGUAAAGAGCUCGUAGGCGGCCUGUCGCGUCGGAUGUGAAAGCCCGGGGCUUAACCCCGGGUCUGCAUUCGAUACGGGCAGGCUAGAGUGUGGUAGGGGAGAUCGGAAUUCCUGGUGUAGCGGUGAAAUGCGCAGAUAUCAGGAGGAACACCGGUGGCGAAGGCGG